This 253-nucleotide ribosomal RNA is filed under the name uncultured bacterium. Its description in RNAcentral is "partial 16S ribosomal RNA". It matches the Rfam family "Bacterial small subunit ribosomal RNA", at positions 524 to 776 of the family's 1533-position model. The record is from RNAcentral.
UACGGGGGGAGCAAGCGUUGUUCGGAUUUACUGGGCGUAAAGGGCGCGUAGGCGGGCUGCCAAGUCUGGGGUGAAAUCCCACGGCUCAACCGUGGAACUGCCUUGGAUACUGGCGGCCUCGAGGGAGGUAGGGGCAUGCGGAACUGUGGGUGGAGCGGUGAAAUGCGUUGAUAUCCACAGGAACUCCGGUGGCGAAGGCGGCGUGCUGGACCUCUUCUGACGCUGAGGCGCGAAAGCCAGGGGAGCAAACGGG